RNAcentral lists this long non-coding RNA (340 nucleotides) under Homo sapiens (human). RNAcentral describes it as "HSALNT0069874". Lineage: Eukaryota; Metazoa; Chordata; Mammalia; Primates; Hominidae. The record is from RNAcentral.
GUUAUGCAAAGUCACAGAAAAAAGAAAUAAUAGCAGAAGUGGUAUUGGAAUCCAUUUAAGCAGAGGUGAUAUGGAUCCAGACUCCACUGAAUGGCCACACUGAUUUAAGUGUCUUGGUCUUAAGUGGAGGCUACUCAAAAUAAAGACCAAGUAUGAAAAUAUUCCAGAUGGAAAUACUACUAUGUUAGAGGACUGCAGUAUGCAUAUGGGAUAUGGAAGCCAUUGAAAAGGGAAAAGGGGAAGGGAUUGUCUCUAAAUUUAAGGAUCAUCUGGAUUUCUACACUACAGACAUAAAAAUGGCUUUAUGUUCUAUUAAUCAGAGAAAUUUGCAUCCAUCAAU